CCUGCCACUCAAGACAUUUUAUGAUUUUGCCCCUUCUUACCUGUAGAGGGUCAACUAUUAAUGCUUUUAUACAAUUCUUUCUUUUAGUAUCUGCAGAGCCUAAUGAAAUGAUUGGAAUAUAAUAGACCCAGUUUUUAUCAUCAUCUGUGGACUCCUUGCUGCCCUGACUCACCCACUGGACUGAACCUUCCCAGGCACUAACCAGUGUCGUUAAUUCACUUCCAUUUGCCACUGACUCUAUGAGUCAAGGAAACUUAUUUUAAACUAUCUACAGCCUUUAAUAAUUAAGUACUCCUGUGAUCAAAAUUUGGAGCACAUUUGUUUCUCUCUGCCUAGUUCCUCUAGAAUUUGUAAACUAUCUGUGGGUGGCCAUUCGUCUUCAGUGUGUACCCCUUCCAAAUGCAUCCUGAACUGCUGGGACUUCUUUGAAAAGCACCUUCUUUUCCCUGUCUCCUCCUCAGUCCUCUCUUCAGUUAGGCCAUCAAACUCCAAACAAUCAUGCAACCAGAGCCUCUAAUGAUGGCCCCUUCUGCCAGGAACCUUUAAAUUUCCUCUGAGGGAGCUCUGACUGUUGUUUCUCAACAACUGCACCCCCUGUCAGCAGGAAGCAGUUAAGAUCAUCUUCCUCCUUACCUUGAAUCUACCAGCGGUUACAUGU
Homo sapiens (human) is the source of this 658-nucleotide long non-coding RNA. RefSeq lists it as uncharacterized. The record is from RefSeq and is a predicted model, not a curated record. NCBI's taxonomy places the organism in Eukaryota, Metazoa, Chordata, Mammalia, Primates, Hominidae. The transcript is spliced from 4 exons.